RNAcentral lists this ribosomal RNA (450 nucleotides) under uncultured bacterium. Its description in RNAcentral is "partial 16S ribosomal RNA". It matches the Rfam family "Bacterial small subunit ribosomal RNA", at positions 354 to 796 of the family's 1533-position model. The record is from RNAcentral.
GUGGGGAAUAUUCCGCAAUGGACGAAAGUCUGACGGAGCAACGCCGCGUGAGUGAUGAAGGUUUUCGGACUGUAAAGCCCUGUUGUUUAGGACGAAAGUGCCUGUUGCAAACAGUUACAGGUAUUGACGGUACUAAACGAGGAAGCCACGGCUAACUACGUGCCAGCAGCCGCGGUAAUACGUAGGUGGCAAGCGUUGACCGGAAUUAUUGGGCGUAAAGAGCAUGUAGGCGGGAAUCUAAGUCUGUUGUGAAAAUGCGGGGCUCAAGCCCGUAUUGAGAGGGAAACUGGGUUACUUGAGUGCAGGAGAGGAAAGGGGAAUUCCCAGUGUAGCGGUGAAAUGCGUAGAUAUUGGGAGGAACACCAGUGGCGAAGGCGCCUUUCUGGACUGUGUCUGACGCUGAGAUGCGAAAGCCAGGGUAGCGAACGGGAUUAGAAACCCUUGUAGUCC